UGGUUUCUCUUCAAGUUGUACAAAUCAUUCACCUUUUACUAAAGAUUUUCGUGGAGAGGAACAGCUAU
RNAcentral lists this small nuclear RNA (68 nucleotides) under Alligator mississippiensis (American alligator). Its description in RNAcentral is "U5 spliceosomal RNA". It matches the Rfam family "U5 spliceosomal RNA", at positions 7 to 74 of the family's 117-position model. From Rfam's summary of the family: U5 RNA is a component of both types of known spliceosome. The record is from Rfam by way of RNAcentral. Lineage: Eukaryota; Metazoa; Chordata; Crocodylia; Alligatoridae.